GACGAACGCUGGCGGCGUGCCUAAUACAUGCAAGUCGAACGCUGAAGAGGGGAGCUUGCUCUUCUUGGAUGAGUUGCGAACGGGUGAGUAACGCGUAGGUAACCUGCCUUGUAGCGGGGGAUAACUAUUGGAAACGAUAGCUAAUACCGCAUAACAAUGGAUGACACAUGUCAUUUAUUUGAAAGGGGCAAUUGCUCCACUACAAGAUGGACCUGCGUUGUAUUAGCUAGUAGGUGAGGUAACGGCUCACCUAGGCGACGAUACAUAGCCGACCUGAGAGGGUGAUCGGCCACACUGGGACUGAGACACGGCCCAGACUCCUACGGGAGGCAGCAGUAGGGAAUCUUCGGCAAUGGGGGCAACCCUGACCGAGCAACGCCGCGUGAGUGAAGAAGGUUUUCGGAUCGUAAAGCUCUGUUGUAAGUCAAGAACGAGUGUGAGAGUGGAAAGUUCACACUGUGACGGUAGCUUACCAGAAAGGGACGGCUAACUACGUG
RNAcentral lists this ribosomal RNA (497 nucleotides) under uncultured bacterium. Its description in RNAcentral is "partial 16S ribosomal RNA". It matches the Rfam family "Bacterial small subunit ribosomal RNA", at positions 28 to 507 of the family's 1533-position model. The record is from RNAcentral.